GAACAUAUGUGCUUGUGUACCCUGAAAUUUGGAACUAGACUUGAGCAGGUUGAAGUCUGGGGAAACCCUGAUGGAAGACCGAAACAGUUCUGACGUGCAAAUCGAUUGUCAGAAUUGAGUAUAGGGGCGAAAGACCAAUCGAACCAUCUAGUAGCUGGUUCCUUCCAAAGUUUCCCUCAGGAUAGCUGGUGCAUUUAACUGUUGUAUAAAAUAAUCUUAUCUGGUAAAGCGAAUGAUUAGAGGCCUUAGGGUCGAAACGAUCUUAACCUAUUCUCAAACUUUAAAUGGGUAAGAACCUUAACUUUCUUGAUAUGAAGUUUAAGGUUAUGAUAUAAUGUGCCCAGUGGGCCACUUUUGGUAAGCAGAACUGGCGCUGUGGGAUGAACCAAACGUAAUGUUACGGUGCCCAAAUUAACAACUCAUAC
RNAcentral lists this non-coding RNA (425 nucleotides) under Drosophila virilis. RNAcentral describes it as "Eukaryotic large subunit ribosomal RNA". It matches the Rfam family "Eukaryotic large subunit ribosomal RNA", at positions 798 to 1206 of the family's 3401-position model. Lineage: Eukaryota; Metazoa; Arthropoda; Insecta; Diptera; Drosophilidae. The record is from Rfam by way of RNAcentral.